This 389-nucleotide ribosomal RNA is filed under the name uncultured bacterium. Its description in RNAcentral is "partial 16S ribosomal RNA". It matches the Rfam family "Bacterial small subunit ribosomal RNA", at positions 523 to 918 of the family's 1533-position model. The record is from RNAcentral.
AUACGUAGGGGACAAGCGUUGUCCGGAAUCACUGGGCGUAAAGGGCGCGUAGGCGGUUUUAUAAGUCAGAUGUGAAAGGUACCGGCUCAACCGGUGACGUGCAUUUGAAACUGUAAGACUUGAGUACUGGAGAGGCAAGUGGAAUUCCUAGUGUAGCGGUGAAAUGCGUAGAUAUUAGGAGGAACACCGGUGGCGAAGGCGGCUUGCUGGACAGAUACUGACGCUGAGGUGCGAAAGCGUGGGGAGCGAACAGGAUUAGAUACCCUGGUAGUCCACGCCGUAAACGAUGAUGACUAGGUGUUGGGGAAACUCAGUGCCGCAGUUAACACAUUAAGUCAUCCGCCUGGGGAGUACGACCGCAAGGUUGAAACUCAAAGGAAUUGACGGGG